This 128-nucleotide ribosomal RNA is filed under the name uncultured eukaryote. RNAcentral's name for it is "partial small subunit ribosomal RNA". It matches the Rfam family "Eukaryotic small subunit ribosomal RNA", at positions 1651 to 1778 of the family's 1831-position model. The record is from RNAcentral.
CCCUGCCAUUUGUACACACCGCCCGUCGCACCUACCGAUUGAAUGAUUCGGUGAAACUUUCGGACCGUAGCCAGGACGCCUCACGGCGACCAGGCCGCGGGAAGUUAUUUAAACCUCAUCAUUUAGAG